GGGGUUGUGGCUCAGUGGUAGAGCACUUUCCUGGCAUGCAUGAGGCACUGGGUUUAAUCCUCAGCACCA
RNAcentral lists this transfer RNA (69 nucleotides) under Ictidomys tridecemlineatus (thirteen-lined ground squirrel). Its description in RNAcentral is "Spermophilus tridecemlineatus (thirteen-lined ground squirrel) tRNA". It matches the Rfam family "tRNA". Rfam says of the family: Transfer RNA (tRNA) molecules are approximately 80 nucleotides in length. The record is from Rfam by way of RNAcentral. Lineage: Eukaryota; Metazoa; Chordata; Mammalia; Rodentia; Sciuridae.